AACGAACGCUGGCGGCAUGCCUAACACAUGCAAGUCGAACGAGACCUUCGGGUCUAGUGGCGCACGGGUGCGUAACGCGUGGGAACCUACCCUUAGGUUCGGAAUAACUCCCCGAAAGGGGUGCUAAUACCGGAUAAUGUCUUCGGACCAAAGAUUUAUCGACUUUGGAUGGGCCCGCGUUGGAUUAGCUAGUUGGUAGGGUAAAAGCCUACCAAGGCGACGAUCCAUAGCUUGGUUGAGAGGAUGGUUAGCCACACUGGGAGUGAGACACGGCCCGGACUCCUACGCGAGGCAGCAGUGGGGGAUAUUGGACAAUGGGCGAAAGCCUGAUCCAGCACUGCCGCGUGAGUUAUGAAGGCCUUAGGGUUGUAAAGCUCUUUUACCCGGGAUGAUAAUGACAGUACCGGGAGAAUAAGCUCCGGCUAACUCCGUG
RNAcentral lists this ribosomal RNA (433 nucleotides) under uncultured bacterium. Its description in RNAcentral is "partial 16S ribosomal RNA". It matches the Rfam family "Bacterial small subunit ribosomal RNA", at positions 29 to 507 of the family's 1533-position model. The record is from RNAcentral.